UAUAUAAUUCGUUCGUAAGAGGAAUGGGGACACGGGAGUGUACAGGUUAAGGUGUAGUAAUCUUCACUCUUCAAUGCGUUCCAAAAAGGAAAACGCAUCAACUUGCUACAGUGUCUGUAACGAUGGUGACAUGGCAUGGCAUUACUGGUUGAAAAGGAAGUUUAUCCUGACCUCACUGGAAACCAGCCAGAACCAUCAAUGUGGCCCCACCUGACACCCACCCACUCAAUCCGGUGCACCUCACGCUAAAACCGAAGCUUUUGUUUUCCUUCCCAAAAACAAAAGAAAAACAAUAACAAUACCAGUCAAAGCAAAACACCCCAUUUAAAAAUGGUCAUUAGCGUGAAGUAUACACACGCGUCGGUCAUUUAGCACUGACUCCGUCUUGAAGAAAGCACGUCUGUCGGGUAUCGAGGCCUCGAGUGACGAGAGAGGCCCAUGGAUCCUGCACGAUGGUCUUCUGCUCACCAGCCGGUUGGUGGUGACCGGGAAACUGCGUGGUACCGGUAAAAGCGGAUUACAGGCAGUAGCAGGCAGCUUUGGACAGGAGAGGAUUCUUGGGAAAUGGGUUUCGAAAUAAAAUCGAUGUGUGAGAGAUGGGUAGGGUUUGGUUUUGAAAACGGUUAGCUAGGGUCGGAUGAGGCUGGGGCCCACACAGCAUGAUCUCUGAGAUCUUCGUUUGUUUGUUCCGAGGGGUAUUUUGAGACUUAUAUUCUUCCAUUCAUGUCCCUCUACCCCAAGGUCACCUCCAU
This 752-nucleotide long non-coding RNA is filed under the name Populus tremula. RNAcentral describes it as "long non-coding RNA (PTRE_LNC000261)". The record is from RNAcentral. Lineage: Eukaryota; Viridiplantae; Streptophyta; Magnoliopsida; Malpighiales; Salicaceae.